GCCAGAAAGAGGGAUUCCGACCCCACCCCGACCGUUUUCUUCUCUCUCUCUGACCAUUUUGAAUUGGGGUGUGUGUGUGUGUGUGUUUUAAAGCACUGCCUCCCCCUUUAGAAGAGUCCCCCCCAGUAUAGAUGGGGCGGGGGGGGUACUAAGCAAGGGGUCCUGGUGUAGGAGGUGAGCACAACGUUGAAGGAGAUUGAUGUCAAGCCCCAGCCGCCAUUGGAACUGCAGAGUUUUUUUCUUCUCCCCCCCAUCUUUUGCAGCACCGAUGGGGGGGGGAGCUUAUGACACCCCCAUCAUUGAGGAUGCUACUCCCCUGGUGGAGACCCAAAGAUGUAUUCACUGAAUGUUUAUCCCUGUGAUAACUGAUGGCGUUCAAACAAUCUAUAGAAUCUAUUUUCAAUAGAUUGCUCGGGUUUCUGCUAGCUGGGCGUUCCAUAUGGUGUUAGAAGAGGAAAUGCAGAAUCCUGUAAACUGUUUCAGAUAAAAUCGAUGGAUUGAGCGUAUGAAAUUCCUGAGGCUGGCUGAAGCACUGAAUCCAGACAAAGGAAGAAUCUCAAAGGGAGACUACGAGUUCCAAAUCAAGAUGGCAAUUCCACUGAUUGAGAGGUUGAGAAAAUGAACUAAUGCAUGGUUGCAGAGUAUAUCCAUCCAAGACAGGGGCACUUUAGCAUGGACUACGCUGUUUUCUAAGCCAAAGAAGAUUGGGCCUUAUGGCCAUCUCAUUAAUAAUUUUUUUCACAAUUAAAUGUUUUGAGUCUUGUAUUAAUAACUCAUUUGGGGAGGUGAAAGCGGCUUACUGAAUUCUGGUAACCAGGAAUGUGUACAUACAUGUUUGGCCCAUGUCUGUUGGCAAAAGUGCAAUUCAAUCU
Long non-coding RNA from Gekko japonicus, 872 nucleotides. RefSeq lists it as uncharacterized. Lineage: Eukaryota; Metazoa; Chordata; Lepidosauria; Squamata; Gekkonidae. The transcript is spliced from 5 exons. The record is from RefSeq and is a predicted model, not a curated record.